Long non-coding RNA from Helianthus annuus (common sunflower), 1019 nucleotides. RefSeq lists it as uncharacterized. Lineage: Eukaryota; Viridiplantae; Streptophyta; Magnoliopsida; Asterales; Asteraceae. The transcript has 3 exons. The record is from RefSeq and is a predicted model, not a curated record.
AUCAUACGAAAGGCAACUCGGUGAUAAAGAAGUCUCUCAAACUCACCAUUUCAUCUCCGGAAAACACUUCCAGUUAGUUAACAACGGUUGAUGGUAUUUCACGUUUGAUAACACUUCGACUGCUAAAAACGAUUUUCAGCGAACUGUUGAAGAAGAUGAUGUACCAGCAAGAUUAUUAUGGAUGUUCAUGAACUUGGUCGGCAUUGCUACAAUCGAUUAGGGUAUUGCUUUUGGAACAUUGCAAUCGUCUAAGACCAUUGGGUACGGGGCUCGUCCCCCCGCCCCACCCCUGCUCCGUCUCACCCCCCUGCUCCGUCUCCUCCGUCCAGAUUCCGACGCUGGCGACGACCCACUCUCCCACACACACACCUCUACAUACCGGAUAACGUGGCCUAUCCCACUUGGCGGUGACGUGGCGGAUGGUCCCUUUGGAACCAUACCGGAUGGUCUAAGGAAAACAGUUUGAAAACGGGGAAGUAAAACUCACAGUGUAUGUCGUAGUUUCACACAGGAUGUAAACAAGCAACUGAGUCAACUUCCAGAAUCACCUAUGCAAAUAUGGGCUUACGUCAGUAUCUAAGUCGGUAACAAGUAUAACUUGGAUUCUGUCAGGAGUUUUCACUGCAGAUUGAGCCUAUACAAUACUGGUAUGGUGAUGGAUGUCAGGGUAGUAUUAGUUUCAGUUUGGCUUCCGGGCACCGGCUCGCGUGUCAGCCAAUGUCAGUAGUUUAACAUGUUCGGACAAUGGUACGGGAAUACCAUUUUAAAAAAGAGCAACCGGCUCUGAUACCACUUGCGAAAUGGUACUGCGGUAAAUUACUACGGUAAAUUGGAUGACAAAUAAAUUACUAUCUGAAACCAUUAAAUCUUGUGCCCAAAAUUUGUCGUACACAAAUUUGUAGUAGACAAAAGUUAAGUACACCAUGUGCUAGUAAAUUGAAUUUAACAAUUUCAUUGCAAAGUUUGUCUACGGCAAAAGAUGCCUUCCAAAGUUUGUAGACAAAAGAUGCCUUACAUAG